GAUAGCCCAUCAGGUAAAUGCUGACGCCCAAUCCACCUCCCCGCGCCUGCACGCCGCCAGCCCGCGCGCCGUCGAGCCGUCGCGCCCGCCUCGUUCUCGGCUGCUCGGCACUUCGGCGGGCACGGCCUGGACUGCGCCGUUCGCACGCCAACCACCGUCCACCGCGACGGCCGACGGCGCAGCAGGCAGCACGGAGGGGCCGACGCCGAUCCACCCGCCCUAGCGAUUAGCAAGAGCGGCAAAAGGCUCUCGUGGUGAGGACAUCCUUGUGUUCAAGCAACUAGCAACAACUCUAUUGCCAGAGCUUCGCUCUCGUCGUGUACGUAGAUGCAGAGCCUUCAACGCACCCAUGACAGGCAGGAAUCCAAACAUUGGCCCUCCACUUCCCCGCGGGGCAGCUAGAAUACGUUUAUGUACCUCUCGAUCUCCGUCUCCGUCUCUACUACCUAAUGAGAAGCUUACUUUCCAUUCAAAUAGUUAAACCAAGAGGCUAUAUUCAAUUAGAGUAGCUACGAUGUACAAUGUUUAUACCCCCUAAGUGUUUUUGACGAAAAAGCAGCAGUUGCUGAGUUUCAUUGAUGAAGAGCUAUGACCUUGUUGAAACUAUUUGCUUAUUUAUUUAUAAGUUGGCCGUAUGCAUCGUUCUGAUGCAGAGGCCGGGGAGUCCCCCUUUUCGAAAAAAAAGCUAUUACAACUGGGGCACCGGCAGCCAAUCUAUACAAACCGGCUAGAGGCCAAUCAAGGCGGGUCAAAAAACUUUGACAUCGGCUUAAGCCCGGCAUAUAGCCAGCACUGUGCCUCGUCAAGUAUCCUGUUAUGGACCUGGGUUAUAGAGCUUACUGCAGCGUUAAAAAUCCUUGCAUUGCGCUCCUUCCAGAAGCACCACGCGACUAGCGGGAGAAUUUCAGGCGCUACCACACCUCCUUUGACUGUGAUACCAUGAUACGGGAGCUCGUGGUCCGUCCGAUCAAAGAUCUAGUGGUCAUAGGAAAAGCUUGUGCAAACUUGCUGAAACACCCGCAAUUUAUCUCUUAAUUUUGCGCAGGUCUGGAGACUGGAACACUAACCGUUGGAUCUUGAUCUGACGGACCAGAAGCUCUCAUAUCAUGGUAUCACAGGAAGUGCGGGAGCACCUGAAAUUCUCCCGGUGACUAGCAGGCACACGGCCCUCCAGGUGGAUUUAUUUGCCUUUGGCAGCGAGCAUGUCUGCCUUCGGAAUCGAUCUCUCAUGCGGCUUGCAUGUGAAGGUUAGCGUAUGGAGGCUAUACCCCCCUAAGUUUCAGGUUUUACCUUAUUUAACAGAAAUUCCUUCAUUUUACUCGAUUUAGGUCCCAUUUUUUAUCUCUUCUAGUUUUUCUUCACAUUUCUUUUUCUAUUCGACACAAGAACACCAAGAGGGUGAGUUUUGACGUCUCCCUCCUUGUCGCUCUACUGCCGUUGAAUUCCCACCCUGCCGACGGCAAGCUAGUUUUUUCGUGUUCUCUUUUUGUGUACCGACUCAACUAGGAAACUAAACCUUCCGACUAACUACUAAGGUCAACUCUGACUGAUCCCCUAAAAAUGAAGGAGGAUCCGGCUGUGUAAACCUUUUCUUUUUGACCGGAAUGACAGGUGCUCCGCCUUUUCAUU
Molecule: non-coding RNA, 1629 nt
Organism: Aegilops tauschii subsp. strangulata
Lineage: Eukaryota; Viridiplantae; Streptophyta; Magnoliopsida; Poales; Poaceae
Source: RefSeq, a predicted model, not a curated record